GUUUCUUUUCAUUUUGGUGAUGCAGUGUUUUUAAUUUCAUCUUCACAUAAACAAGCAUUAAAAUACAAUUCUACGUAGGUAAAAUCAUUAUUACAGAACUAGGAGAGAAUUCUGUAUCACACAGCAUGGAUGCCACUUAUUCAGAUAUUCUGCACUGUUGUCAGGGACAGAGGAGGACAUAAAUCAUCCUAUUUUCUUCCUACAACACCCUCUGGACUGGAAAACAUCUCUCUAGUCUGUGUUCCACUUCGUAGACAGACUCUACUUGGAUAGCUACCAGUAUCUUUGUUCUUAUCUGAAGCAACAAAAUCAUCAGGUUCUUUGCUUUCCACUUUUUCCAGGGUAGGAAAAACUACUAAACAUUCAGGUUAAAAUCAUUAAAAGCAUCUUUUGCAUC
This 397-nucleotide long non-coding RNA is filed under the name Zonotrichia albicollis (white-throated sparrow). RNAcentral describes it as "lncRNA (ENSZALG00000013629.1)". The record is from RNAcentral. Lineage: Eukaryota; Metazoa; Chordata; Aves; Passeriformes; Passerellidae.